Molecule: RNA transcript, 8319 nt
Organism: Diprion similis
Lineage: Eukaryota; Metazoa; Arthropoda; Insecta; Hymenoptera; Diprionidae
Gene name: telomerase-binding protein EST1A-like
Exons: 29
Source: RefSeq, a predicted model, not a curated record
AUGGCGAACAACGACAAAGGACGCAGAAAGUGGGGAAGAAUUUCACAAGAUAAUAUGGCGGAUUUUAAAUUGGGAAAGAAUAGAUCAACAGUGGAAAUGCGCGGUGGUGCAAGCCGGGCUCCUCCUCAGCCCUUAUAUAGGCCAGGAUGCGGCCCAUUACGUAAAUCAGGGUCAAGCUCUGACAAUUUUGACAGUGAGAACAACCUCCAGGAAAAGCCCAAGUCAUCUUUCUUUCAAAGCCGUGAGAAGCAACACCAGUUCAACAGUUCUUUUCUACCACAGGACAAUUCACUUUCAUCUCGAAUUGAAAGUAAUUCUGAUAAAUUGACUGAUAUGCGACUGAACUACAGAAAUAAUAGCAACGACCAGAUUCAAGCAUCAUCUAGGAAUAAUCAGGUUGGGGGCGAUCCAAAAAAGAAGAAUAAAAAACCAGAACAACCUCUUUAUGUGCCAAAAAAGGUUAAGGAGUCAUUGGCUGGGCGCGAAGUGGCUAAUAGAUCUCCAGUGCUUGGUGGAUGGGAUAGAGAACGAGAGAGAGAAAGAGAAAACAGCAGAGAUUGGGAUACCCAUUCCAAUCACAGCCAUCGAAAUGAGAGUCAUCGCAAUCUCGUGGGAGCUCAUGGUGGUGGUGGAAAUAAUCGUGGUGGAGGUAGGGAAGAACAUGGAAAACGUGGUGGAGGAAGUCGGCGAAACCGGAACCCAAGUGACUGUGAAGAACGUUGGAGACCAGACUCACCAUCUUCAGGGAGGAGUUAUGGAAAUAAAAGGGACAACCACCGAGAGAUUAGACAAGGUUCAGAGCCUCUUAUUGAUUCACCAAACACGACAGGCGACACUAAUCGAACUCGAGACACUAGAAGCGUUGAACCAGUUGGUUAUCCAGAAAAGUUUCAGGGGAAGCCACCCUCAGGAAGGCGCGGUAGUAUAAAGGACAAUUCAAUGCAUAGAAACUUGAAAAACUUUGAUCAUCUCCCUCCAAGAUUGCAAAGAAAAUUACUUGACAAGAACGGAUUACUUUCAACACAAAAUAGCUAUAUCGGCACUACUUCAGAGGAUACACAGUGGGAUGGAAGCACAGUUACUUAUCAGGGUACCUCUGGUUACAAUAAUUAUUCAUCGGCGAUGCAACAUUCUCAAACGAUGCAGCAUUUGAGACCGUCCGGACCUUUGCCAGCUCAGCAGAACUGGGCAAACACUAUUCCUGCCCGCAGCCGUGGUCGGGGAAGACUCAGACUGGAUGAAAUGGAAGCUCAGUCUCUGAUGUUUAGAUCUGUUACGCCUGAGCAGCUUUCAGCGCCUAAUACGAGACCUCAGACUCCUAAUCUAGAUUAUAUGAACCGAUCCUAUGAUCGUCGAGGUAGUAAUAGUACAAUGUACACGAGCGUAGAGAGUUUGAGCCGCAUGGAUAGCUUCACGAUGCCUCCUCCACCUCCAGCAAUUUCACCAGCAACGUCAAUACCAAACAGGAACAGACGUAACUCACCUCCUAACUAUCAAAGACAGAGGAAAGGGGCAUCUUCUCCUACCACGUCGCAGCAGCAUACCUAUCAGACACGACGUGGCAACAACUCGAGCGAACCUUCAAGCUCCAUGCAGGAAAGAUUGGAUCACAAACAAAUGCUGAAUCUUAGUCCAUCUAAAAGCGAACCAUUCAGUCCAUUGCCAGAUAUGUCUUCGGAACAUACGUUGGAUUGGAGUGAAGAAGUAGAAUUAACUGAGAAACUUGAGGCUGAACAGCUGUGUCGUAGCUCUUCGAUGAUUAGUCUUCGUGAUAAUACGAGUGGGGUAACUGGUAGUCAACCACCUGCUGAGGCAUCUAAAGGAAGGAAUCGAACGAAGAAAAAGAGACGCGGAAGAGCACACACUGGUGACAGGAGUUUAAGCAGGGAUAAAGUAAAAGAAAAUAGUCGAGAACGUGAUAAGAACCAACAGAAUAGAGAUCAUGACAAUUAUAAUAGCAAUCAGAAGGCCGCUGGUGCCAGCAGGCGGUAUAACAGGGAUCAUACUCAGAGUAACAAUGCCCAAAGGAGUCGUGAAACAAGUAAAGAAAGAAAUUUCAGAGGCAGUAGCCGGAAUCCUGAUGAUUUUCACAGAACCAGCUUUCUCUCCAGAGGUCAGGACUCGCAUACAGAUGAAAACUGGAGGGCGGGAAGAAAGCCUUCGAUAUGUGAUUCAGAUGAGGGUCGGCGCACUCCAUCUUCACUGACUACUCACACUCGUCAACAAUCUCCUCAUUCUGUUCCACUGUCAAAUUCACCACCUAAUUCUGUGUUGCAACAAAGUAAUUCUCAACCAAGUUAUAACAAUGCUCAGCCACCUGGUGUUCUAUUUUUACCUGAAACCAGCCAUUCGCCACCCAGUGUCACCCCAGCGAGACAAAAUUCAUCUCAGCAACAGAGAACUCUCUUCGACCCUAAUAAUCCCAACAAACCAAUCAUCAUUACGUCACCUGGAAGUAGAGCUGCUUUGGCUAGGGAAAAUGAAGCUCAAAGUCAGUCCUCUGGUGCACCUGUUUUCCAAUCUCAUCUUGCAAGUCCAGGUCACAGUUUUGAAGCACCUCAAUCGGAUAGUAUGCCACUCUACGUUACUGACGAGUUCGGUAAUAUGCGACCACCGUGGUAUAAUCCUAAUUCAGAAAGUUUCCGAUCAGCCAAGAAUCCUUAUUUACUUUUGGACAUAGGCCGGGCAGAUUUGGAGCUACAGUGGAUUUUAGGUUCAGGUGGUUUUCCGGCUAGCUGGGAGAGGCUUUCUUAUAUUCGGCGGUUCUUACAAGACAGUUUACAGAUGCUAUUGAAAACAGAUAUCAAGUUUUGUCAAGCUGAAAAUGUGGAGCAACACUUUUGGAAGAUAUUAUUUCACAAUAUGAUUGAAAUGUUACGGAAGGGUAUACCUAAAGAGAACUCGGAAGGACGUGAUCAUUAUAAGAAAAUAAUGAUAGAUAUCAUUGACGAGGGAACGGUAUAUUUAGAAAAUCUUCUGACUGUCCUUGAAAGUAGUUACAACUUUAAAUUGGACACGUUUCUGGUAUCUCCAUCGUUACCCAAAGGACUCGGACCUGUUGGCUUGGCUUUGGUCAGUGCACAGAAGAUAUUUCUAUAUCUUGGAGAUUUGGCUAGAUACAAAGAACAGGUUAAUGAAACCACCAACUACGGAAAGUCAAGGCACUGGUACGUCAAGGCUCAGCAGAUUAAUCCUAAAAAUGGGCGGCCAUACAACCAAUUAGCAGUUUUGGCAUAUUGUGCUAGACGAAAAUUAGACGCCGUUUACUUUUACAUGCGGUCACUGAUGGCAUCCAAUCCAUUUCACUCUGCCAGGGAAAGUCUGAUAGCACUUUUUGAUGAAAAUAGAAAAAAGUAUCUACAUUAUUAUGAGUCUACGGAACGAAAGCGUAAGGAAGAAAGAGAAUGGAAGGAACGAGCUCGCAUGAAAGAAAAAGAAGGGGCUGGCGGAGGAGGCGGAGGAUUGAGGCGAGAAAUUUGGAUUCAUCCUGGGGGCAGGAGGGUCACGCGAACAACAACUGCGGCUGCGGCAAGUGAAGCAAGACUAGCUCACAGUGACCCUGAGGAACUUUCCCAGUUGACCAGUGUCGAAGUGAACAAGCGAUUUGUAACGUCUUACCUCCAUGUUCAUGGAAAGCUGAUCACCAAAAUUGGGAUGGAAACCUUUCAGGAGGCUGGUAUCCAGAUGCUCAGAGAAUUUCGGGCUCUCCUUCAACACUCGCCUCUUCCUCUACCGGGAACUCGGCUUCUUCAGCUGCUAGCGCUUAAUAUGUUUGCCAUCGAGACGACGCAGCUCAAGGAGACACAACUGGAGCCUGGCUACAGAUCCGAGGUCCAAGAGCGCGCGCUAGUCGUAUCCUUGCAAAUGUUCAGCUUGAUCCUUGAGAGGGCUGUUUCAUUGUUGAGGGUGCAGCUUCAACGUGAUCAACACCCUAGACUGAUAGUCGAUGAAGACAUGCAAGUUUUACUCCCUGCCAUCAAGAUAUGGUGCGAUUGGAUGUUGUGUCACAGUACCGUAUGGAAUCCACCGCCAUCUUGCACGGAUUAUCGCGUCGGACCACCCGCAGAUGUUUGGAGUAGAUUGGCCACGAUGGUAAACCUCUUGGAUAAGCUGGACCAUCAGACAGCCUCAUUUACUAGCGACAGUGAGGCCGACGGAUUGGAGCUUGUCAGGCUACCAGAAGAUUCCACUCUCUCAGGAUUCACUCCUCUCAUGUCGAAUCCUCAGGAGCCAAUUUUUGUCAAGAAAGAGGAGGAUAUGGAAGUGGCCCAAGUUUGUUUGCGGAUACACAAAAUACUUUUCUUCGGACAAGUGUUCCUCUGCGGUCUUGAGACUCCGGUUCUUAAGCUACAAAAAUGUGAGACUGGUGACAGUGAGUACGUUUCUGUCGUGGAAACCUCAACAGCAAGUUCCCCUAGCUCACCACCUGAACAAAGUGACUCGGAAAUCCUCGUCGAAAGCUACAGUGAAGGUGAGGAGGAUUUGCCGGUGAUGAGGCGGCUACCCUCGAAUUCCGGCGCAUCGGCUGAGAAUUCGUUGUGGACGACAGCACCGACGGGGGAGAUCAGGUCACUCAUAGAACGAAAAGAAGAACUCGAAAGGCGCCAGAGGAAGCAAGAACGUCAUCGGCAGCGAGUCCAGGCGAUAUUGCAAAAGUCUACAGUAUCCGUGGAAAUCGAAGUGAAACCAAGGCAACUGGUUCCGGACACGAAUUGCUUCAUUGACUAUCUGCCUCAGCUUCAGACAAUCGCCAAGGCAACUUCCGGUUCACAACCCAUCUACACGUUAAUGGUGCCUUUAGUCGUUCUCAACGAGCUGGAGGGUCUUGCUCGUGGAGGAGACGCCCGCGAUUGUCCGCCGGCUUCGAGAGCUGCCCUGAACCCUGAGCACGUCGCCAGGGUUGCUGAAAGAUCGAGGGUGGCCCUGGCCUUUGCUCGCAGCAAAAAUCCAGCAGUGCGUUGUCUUACAACCAGAGGAACGGUCCUCACCUCGAGCACCUUUACCGUCGAGGAAGACGUCGAUCAGGGCGGUUUAACCAGGAACGACGACAGAAUUCUGGCCACUUGUUUAAGCUUAUGUCGAACUAGCAGCAAGGAGCUUAACAGCGUCGCAGAAGGUCAACCGCGUAGGCUACGACGCGAGGUAGUAUUACUUACGGAAGAUAGAAAUCUUCGGGUGAAAGCAUUGGCACGAGAUGUCCCUGUCCGUGAAGUACUAGACUUCAUGCAGUGGGCCAGUCUUGGAUGAUUACCGAGAGCGCCAAGUUCGCUUUCUAUUAGAAAAAAUGAAAAAUAAAAAAUAAGGAUAAUAAUGAUCAGAAAAAUCAAUGGAAAUAGCGAUAAAUGGAUGAAAUAAAGUCAAACAUCGAUCCAUCUCGCACCAGCAGACAGAUCUUCAUUGCCAGCAGACGAUGCAUCGGGCCAUUGGGAUGACGCUAAUCCUCAGAAUGGUGGGUUUCAUUUCUAUCAUUGUGAUGUUACUGUUCUCAUCGAUGUAUCAGUGUGAGUGCGAAAUUCGAAAGCAGGACAGAAACGCCAAGGGACUAGAAAAGGGAAGUAACGUAUAGGAAUAAAAACUAAACUCCCAUCAUUCUAAUGGAAAUUUAUUAACUAGAACUCUUGAAUACGUGUUCUUUGGACAAGUUUUGGAGUAAUUCUUAACGCACUAUUUUAAUGAUAUAAUAGUCGAUAAUAACGCGAAUAAUAACAUUCGUAUUUUUCUAACACCGAUUUAUUAUAUGUUAUUGCUGUAGUAAUUAUACUUAUACAUAUAUCAAAUUACACACGCGUAUGUUGUGACUAGGCACAUAACGUAGACGUAGAAUUGUCAAUUUAAUUUUAUUUUUCUCAAAUUACUAUUACUACACUACUAUUUGACUAUUAGGAUUAAAUUGUAAUGCUUUGAACGACAUGAUAAGAAACGAUAGGAUAGCGUAAGCGUUAUAGUUAUACGAGUAGAUUAAGAACUUUUAAGGAAGAUAUUAGCAAAUAUGCAUACAUUCCUAAACUUAUCUGAAUACCUUAAUUUUAUAACUGAAUCAAGUGUAAGAAACGAUAGAAAAAGAGAAAAAAAAGGAAAGGUUUGUCGAUGAUUUAACCCGUAUCUGAUUCAUAUUCCUUUUGUCAAGUUACACAAUACAUUUUUUCACCAAUAAAUAUAUACGUACACAUACAUUUGUACACACAUAUGUACUUUAAAUCACACUGCAUGCAAUACAGUUUUUAUUAUUAUUGUUACGUAUUUAUAUAUACAAAGCUCUAUUAGCAUCAUUAUCAUUAUAUACAUGAUGGUAAUAUACUAUUUUUUGACAAACCAUGGAGACAUGGAUAUUUGAUAAUAUUACACCACACUUAUCUGUAUCUUUAUAGUGAAAUAAGAAUGAUGUUUGCAAAUGAUAUGUAGUGAAAGCUAUAUUGCUGUAUGUUUGCGUCAGGUUGCGUAAAUUUACUAUUUCGAUGACACGAACGAAUUUUAAUGAAUGAGAUGGAGUAAAAAAACAAACAAGGGGAAUGAGGCCAGACCGACAUUUACGUCAGAAUUUUAAUCAUACGAAGAAGGGGAAUUCUUAGUAGAAAAAAAAGUAGCUCGCUUAUUCUCAGUAUCUUCUGGUUUCGUUUAUGCUUUGAUGAUCGUUAAAAGCAGUUUCAACGUGUCAAAAAAUGGGACAUGACAACAUGAAGUUUCUUUGAAAAUAGCACUACUGUGAAUAAGAAAAAUGUGUCUCCUUGCGCUGUUGGAGUUGCCAUUUCUUUAAAACAUAAAACCAAUUUUUAAUGUUCGACUAGGCCUUAACUCUCACAUUUUUGUUUUAUUCGAAUUUUUUCCUGGAUGUAAUAGGAGGUCAAAGACACUCAAUCUUUAGCUGGCAUCUUUACCUGGUAUAAUAUUCCUGGCACCUUGGGGUCGGUGAAAGCUUCAACCGAAAAUUGCUUGCUAUAACGAAGCAAUUUAACAUUUUCACUUCAAUUUUUUUUUUUUUUUUUUUAUAUAUUCACUUAAUUGUCUUUUAUAAGAUAAAAAUGUCGUAACAAUAAUUUUCAAAUUCAAUUGACCCCAAGGUGCCAGUAAUGUUAUACCAGAUGAAGGUGCCAGGUAAAGAUUAAAAACCCUUAGGUCACGAACGAUCCCGAAGUGCCAGAUAAAGGUUAAAUUAACUGCCUUACAUUUUCAUGAAAAAUCUCUAAUGAGUAAUAACUGUCAAAAGUCGUGAUUAAACGCCUUAACUGUAAAAUCUGAGAUAAAAACCGAAAAUGCUACUUUUUGUUUCGAUCACUUCGGCACAAGACCCAUGGUGGUAAAGAAUCUACUUCUAAGUAUUUAAAGACGAAGUUUUUUUUAUUCCACAAAAACAUGGAAAAUUUUUAUUUAGCGAACACUUUUAUGGCUUACGCGUUUUUUUCCUCUAUAUUCCGUACGUAAAGUAAUCGUUUUCUGCGACAGUAAGAAAAAGAGCACCGAAGUACAAAAAAGUGAAGUUUUACGACCUUGUGACACCUUUUUUUAAACAAAGUAUUGUAAGCACCAUGGGAGCAAAGUUUUUUUUAUAUAACGCGAGCAUGUUUUACGUGUUUUUUCAUGCAUGUUUCCCGUACACAAAGUACUCGUUUCUAUAACGGUAGAGUGAGUCUACGAAUGCGCAUGCGCGUAGUACAUAAUAAACAAUUUUUAACUCCUAGGAGUUAACUAAACUGACAUUACGCGACCAUAACCUCAAUUUAGUGCCUCGUGAAAAAACGUCUGACAUACUCUUGUUAUAUAAAGAAUCGUGUGCAACAAGUAGGCAACCGUUUUUUCACCACACCUGCACGGAAAGUACAACUUUCGGCCCCUCGCAUAAACGGAAAGUUGUACUUUCCCUGCACGUGUGGUAAAAUAUACUAAAUAUACUAUUUCGCCACACGUAUUUGCAAUAUUCGUCUUCAGCUUGCGCACGCACUCGCCUACGACUCAUAUUGUACACUUACUUACUUUACAUAAGUAAACUACUUUGCUUCUUUAAUAUACAAUCUACUAUUUUUAUACGCUUUGGUUUAAUUGGGUAGUUAUCAUUUUUUAGGUUCUUUAAGACACUUUGAAAGUUCGAUAAACUUUUCGUUUCUAAAUCCAAUAAAUAGUAACUUAUUCAGUAUAAAGAAAUAACAUUUUUUCGUGUCUUGAACAAAUAAAAAAUGUUGUAGGUGUCUAAACACCUAGAAAGAGUUUGCUUGCCGUCAUUAGUCUUGUUGCAGAAUGAAGUAAAGCACUUUCAGCAUUUUAUCAGGUUUUACACUUUAGGCGUUUUUACCACUUUUGACAGUUGAUGCGCGAAGGGGAUUUUUC